UGGUCUGAGAGGACGACCAGCCACACUGGGACUGAGACACGGCCCAGACUCCUACGGGAGGCAGCAGUGGGGAAUUUUGGACAAUGGGCGCAAGCCUGAUCCAGCAAUGCCGCGUGCAGGAUGAAGGCCUUCGGGUUGUAACCUGCUUUUGUACGGAACGAAACGGCGAGCUCUAAUACAGCUUGCUAAUGACGGUACCGUAAGAAUAAGCACCGGCUAACUACGUGCCAGCAGCCGCGGUAAUACGUAGGGUGCGAGCGUUAAUCGGAAUUACUGGGCGUAAAGCGUGCGCAGGCGGUGAUGUAAGACAGAUGUGAAAUCCCCGGGCUCAACCUGGGACCUGCAUUUGUGACUGCAUCGCUAGAGUACGGUAGAGGGGGAUGGAAUUCCGCGUGUAGCAGUGAAAUGCGUAUAUAUGCGGAGGAACACCGAUGGCGA
This 438-nucleotide ribosomal RNA is filed under the name uncultured Burkholderiales bacterium. RNAcentral describes it as "bacterial SSU rRNA". It matches the Rfam family "Bacterial small subunit ribosomal RNA", at positions 288 to 718 of the family's 1533-position model. The record is from RNAcentral. Lineage: Bacteria; Pseudomonadati; Pseudomonadota; Betaproteobacteria; Burkholderiales.